GCUGGAAUAGCUCAGUCAGUAGAGCAUGAGACUCCUAAUGUCAGGGUCUUGGGUUGGGGCCCCAUGUGGGGCA
Molecule: non-coding RNA, 73 nt
Organism: Podarcis lilfordi (Lilford's wall lizard)
Lineage: Eukaryota; Metazoa; Chordata; Lepidosauria; Squamata; Lacertidae
Source: the annotation of a GenBank genome assembly